AUGUCGUACAUGUUCCAGCGCUAUCCCUCCUCUCCAGGCGAACAGUUUCUCUGUUCCUCGCCGCCGCCGCCGUUUGUUCCUCCUCUAUGUGCCGGUUUCCUUCGUCCUCGAUGCACCGGCGUUCUACCGUGGGCGAGCAUUUGCUGCGCGACAGCAUGCGCGCCAGUGCGGUACUGUUCUUCUGUAGCCCCUUGUUGUUGUUUUCAUUUCGACACCCAUGAACGCUUGCUCCCCUUCCACACACCUCUCUCUCUCUCUCUCUCUCUCUGCAGGCGGCGGCGAUGGCCGCUCCGUACGGAAGGGACGCAACGAAAAAGACAGGACUUCACCGAUAGGACGACGACGGGUGCAUGCGACCUAAUCCUUAGGUUCUACUCGUAUGUUGGAAGGGUGUGGAUGAACAAGAUAGGAGAGGAGGUAAGAAUGGAGAUUAAGGGAGUAGAUGGGGCGCCCCGUUCAGGCUGGAAGUAG
Molecule: ribosomal RNA, 471 nt
Filed under: Triticum aestivum (bread wheat)
Lineage: Eukaryota; Viridiplantae; Streptophyta; Magnoliopsida; Poales; Poaceae
Description: partial small subunit ribosomal RNA
Source: RNAcentral